Long non-coding RNA from Drosophila subpulchrella, 1714 nucleotides. RefSeq lists it as uncharacterized. The record is from RefSeq and is a predicted model, not a curated record. The transcript has 6 exons. NCBI's taxonomy places the organism in Eukaryota, Metazoa, Arthropoda, Insecta, Diptera, Drosophilidae.
AGAAAUGCCAGGACUUACUUCCGGGUCAUUCCUGAAUCGGUUUUGUAUUGUCGGCUGAUUCCCAGGAUGACGACUUCCAAAAUGACCGCCCGUAGGGAGUUCCUGAGCUCUAGUCGAUGUUUCUGACCCCCCGAUAGAGAUGUCUUCCUUUCGACCUGCCUCAUCAACUCAGCAAAGCCUUCUUUGAUAAAUUUGUCAAUCUUAUUAUAUAUGAUAAACCGUUCCAUUUCAGCUCGAAACUGAUUCUGGGAUUCUACCACAAAGUUCCUCACAUCGCUACCAUGGCCUUGGUUGUCGACUCCCUCGAGGCUAUACUGUUCUUGGAUCGGAUCUAGCUGGAUGUGAGAAAAUAGUGUGAAACGGCAUUGGUUGCAGUGGAGGACAAGUGAAUGAUCCUGCCUUCCCUAAAGGGGUCGUAAGGAAACAGAAGGGGAAAGAACUACUAUAAACUAUCCCAUCCUACACGGUGAACUGAUCUGCGGCGCUAUUUCUCUAAUUGACUGUCCUCGACCUUGGAACAUGAUAGCAAAAUUUAUCGUUUAACACAAAACAAUGACAGAGUCGACUCUUUCCAACUUCGACUCAGUCGAAGUUGGGGAGUCAAGGGUGUCAUUUUAUUUAGUAAUCAAAAAUCCACGUUUCUUCACCCGCCAUCAUCCCUUCGACCUCUUGAUACAUCUCAACCGCCGUUCGUCAGUCAAAGACACCGAGGAAUCAUCCAGAAGCUUCUGAGACUCCUGUUCUUAAGAGACUCAGGACUUCGGAUUUCGGUUGUAUUGGCGACUGCCUGAAGAAAAAGGAUCUUUUUACGUCCCCCGACUGUUGCUCCUGUAUCUCGAUCGCAAAGCUUCCAGUCUGCUUGGACCAGCAGAUGUCGUCGAGCAAGAAACAUAAUCUUUCUGCUGUUCGCCUACCGGUCAGACGAGGACUUCAAAAAGGUCUAUGGGAAGAGGAAAAUCUUGUUGGUGCCUGGUGUGUUGCCAUUUAUAUUUGAAAUUGGGCGCCAAUAUUGUUACGUCCCAAAAUAGGACUACGUGUUUCCGCGAGUGCGCAGCGCCGGCAAGCUCUAGAGCACUUGGGGUGUGGGUACUCCAACCCUGCCCACACACACGCAACAAUAAACAAACAGAUGUCGCAGGACACCAUCGUAUAUAUUGUGGGCUUUUGGUAGUAAACCCAAAGCCUCUGCGCUCCCACCCAACCGUAGCAGCCGUAGAUGUCUCCGACUGCCCCUUGGACCGGUCACCGUAGGAUACCUUGGAACCGUCUACAUGUUCCCUCCCCUCUGAAAGAUAGAACUUCUUCAGCUUCCCGUAAGGAAACCCAUCAACCACCGCCCGCCGGGUGCAACAGUCCCACACAGGUUUUGUGUAGACGGAUAGAAUGUCUGUUUUCUUCCUUUCGGUCCCUACCUAAAAGAGCUCUCUUAAUUGGAUCCUAUUCGACGCGGUAGCUGGAGAGGAUUCCCCGUGGGAUUAACAAGUGCUCCGCGAUACAAUUGCGGUUAUGUUUGUUUUUUUUGUGUUUCUUGGUUCUUUGGCUUUGACGAUUUAAAUAUUAAGCCUCACCCAGAAAGAGCGAUAAGAGAUAGAUAACAAAUAGAUACAAAUAUGAAAACACUCGCCGUGAAUUGUUCACAUCCGGCAAUAAAUAAAUUGGCUUAAAUUUUUGAUAUAAAUAAAUAAAUAAUCGUGCAAUAGAUACUGUGCAAUAA